AUAACGAGGAAGAGGAACCCAAACCUAAACCCAAAUAUCCAAACACCGAGCACGCCGAUCUCCACCCGCAGCAGCGGCCGUCGGGGCUCGCCUCCCCUUCCUACCCGUUUGGUGGUUCUCGGCCGACCUUCGCGUUCCCGCAGAUUUGCAUCCUUCAGGUAUUGGCAAUAUAAGGGUAAUGGAAGUUUUGUGCUCAUGAUCUAUGUCUUAAUGAUGUAUUUCCGUUUUGUUAUGUGCCCAACUGAGCUCAUCAAUCGAGAAUUGAGAUGGCCUGUACUUCUUUUGUUCUCCGUGCUCCACCUAGAGGUAUUUGUAAAAUUUUAUGAUGCCUGGUAAGAGCCAGUACGACAGUACUCCCCUGUGUCCCAUCAUUGUUUGACACCAGUAAUGUUUUCUUUUUGAGCUUGUUACACUGCCUUUCUAGUGAUAGUCGGUAGCAUUAAAAGCACAUAACCUAGUUCAGCUGGCAGCAUGAAAAGUGCAUAGCCUACUUCAUGAGACAAUUUAAUUAUUGCACUUCCCAUGUGAUAUAUCUUUGGGUCUAAUGUGGCUAGCCGUACAAAUCAUGAGCUUGUGGGGGCAAGCAUGGACAAUAAUGAGAUCUUGUCCUAUCCAACAUGGUUGAUAUAUGACCACCGAUUGUGCUGAGCUUUAUUUGUGAGGUAAUGGUCAUGACUCAGGCCUGAUAUUUUCCCUGUGUGAAUGUGUGAUCUACAAGGAUAUAGUGACGCUGAUUAAUUGUGCGAAAUAUUUCAUAUGGAAGUACUUCAUCACUGGGGUGUAAAUUAGACAGGCUUAGGGCAUCCCCAAAGGUAGUCAGUCACUGACUCUUUGUACUCCCCACAUCACCUACAGUCAACAGUAAAAAAACUACCAUGAGUUGAGUCUUAAGCUAACUCUACAUGUAUUGUUAACAUUGAAUAUGAUGGUGUAACAUUGUCGACUCCUCGGUUGACAGAAUUACAGGUCUGAAUUCAGGAUCAGCUCCUCAUUUGCACUUGUUGGGAUAAACUAGCUCGUUAAUUUAUAUGCAAAUUACGUGUAGGAUGUUAAAUAACCCCUGUUAGAUGAUGGAUUUUUAUGUUGCGGGUGAAUAUUUUUAAAGGGAUCACAUGCCUCAAUCAAUUCACAGUUCAUUUUUCCCGAUGAUCAAAAGUUAAUAGCUAUAUGUAUCAACUUGAAAUAUCAUCCUAAUUUCGUGUUGCAAUACAUGUAUCAUGUUUUCUUGUCUUCAUACCAUCAGCUGUGGUAAUAGAGUAUUUUCAUUGCCAGACUCAUGUUUAACUUAAAUCAAGGAUAUUCAAAGCCCAUGAGUUCUGUGCACUAACCACAUUACCAUUAAUCACAAGAAGCUUGAUUCAGCCAAUGCUCUGAGUUUGAUUCCAACAGUGCUUUUCGAGUUAGGCAAUCCCAUGUGACUUAAAAUUCAACCAAGUUUUCUGUUUAGCUAGAAUCCCCAGCUUGGACAACCAUUUUGCGGUCUUUUCUCUAAAAUUAUCAAACCAAAGCUAUUAGCUUCUCCAAAAUGCUAAUGAUGUGAAACUGUUUGCAUUUGACUCUAUAUGUCACACGGGUUUUAUCCCCGUACGAAUUCAAAAUGAGUAUUAAAGAAAUCCCAAUUGGUUUGUCUAAUGGACCUAGGCUUGUAAGAUUAGGCUUACCCCAAAAUUGAACCAUUAAUGGCUGGGUGCUAUGUGUUUGUCGUUGGUUUUGGUUGUGCUUAUUGCUGCCACUUCAGCUGAAACUUGUCUAUGAUAGACAAUUGUGUUUAUAGCUGCCACUUCAGCUGAUACCUGUCUAUGAUGGACAGUCUAAAUUGCAGUACCAGAGACACGUGCUCACACAUGGAUGGGCUCCAUGUGUUUCAAUAAAGUCAUGCAGUUCCCUGGAGUUGUACCAUUAAGGUACAGGGGACCUUGGCAUUAUAAUUAUAUGCAUCGGGUUGUACCUCAUUUUCAGGGCACUUUUUGAAAGAUUUGUCAACAGCCACACAGGGCUAAUAGCAGGAUCAGGCAUUAUGCUGUUUAAAUAAUUAUAUGUGAUAUUAGUUUUAGAUUGAUAGCGCAUUCCCUAGCAAAAAUGAUUUUCCCCUGUUCCAAAAGGAUCUUGCACCAUACAAAGCAAGAAGAAAUGUGGUUGUUGACUGGUUGCUCGUUGCCCUUGUUUUAUGCGUUGCAUAUCUGCAUCCUCUGAAAGUGUGCAGAUUGUUUUUUCUGAUAUUCUUGUUUCUUGUUUGAUGAAGGGAGUUCGAUUGAUCUGUGACCACGUGUGGUGCUUUGUCAUUUUAGAAAAUGGAAGAUGAAAAGGGCAGUAUGAGAUGCUUGUGUGAAAUGAUUGUCUUGUUUGUGUUGCACAUGAGAAGCUGUGAUGCCAACUAUUGGCCGAUGUCCACACAGUGUCUGUUACUCUGGCAUCUGAGGUUAUGCAAAAGAUCCUAGCAUCACAUAUGAAAUAUGUCAGGCUUAUUCAGUAGCUAUAAUGUUAUGAGCAGCACUAGUGGUUUUUUGGCUAGCUAGCUGACGAAAUAUUUGUUGUGGCUAUGCUGUAAAUAGGGAAUUUUACUAUUGGGGCCAGAUUAGCUGGGUUCGUUCCCGUAUACUCUGGGAAAAAGUGGGUUGAGAAAAACUGAUGCCAAACCAAGCCACAGAAGCACGACAGCAUGUUGAAGAAAUGCAUUGACAUUUUUGCUUCGUGUGCAUCAAGUCAAGUACUGGGUGAAUCAAGCGUCUUGUGAUUAAUGGUAAUGUGGAGAUGUGAUAAUAUCACUCAAGGUGAUGAUGCCAUGGCAUGCCCACUCACAUCAUUUGGUGGGCGUAUCAGAGAAGGAUUGUUACUAGCACAGAGGCAUGCUUGAGUUGCUUGGACAUAUGCAUGUGUGUACGUUAGUGCGGAAAUAUUAAAAUAUUAGCAAGUUAUAACAUAUAAUUUUAUUCUCCUGUUUUCUGUUUCAGUUUAUUGCAGACUUGCAGUUCAAUGACACAACUAUAUGGCACUGCAUCAAACUUCAGCAAGCUGCAAACCACUUUUAGUCUGUCAUGCCCAAUAUCUAACAUGUCAGUAAUAUGGAAAAUAGUGAAACUACUCCUUGGCAUGUGUCAAAGCUUUUCACAUGUUUCAGUUCAGUAGAAGUUCUGGCAAUGUUGCCUUAUACUGUAGCUACUCCAUCUUGUGCAACCUCAACUAUAUGUAAGACUGUUGCAGUACUUUUAAGUUAGAUUUACUUCAGAGGCAGCUCUUACAAGUUUUGGCUAAUGCUGUUGGGCGUGAUGGUAUGCUACCAUUAGAAUAUGAUGUUAACAUGUCAUGUACUUCCUCCGAUCCUAAAUUGUUGUCGAAAUAUUACAUGUAUCUAGACAUUUUUUAAGAA
Brachypodium distachyon (stiff brome) is the source of this 3367-nucleotide long non-coding RNA. RefSeq lists it as uncharacterized. NCBI's taxonomy places the organism in Eukaryota, Viridiplantae, Streptophyta, Magnoliopsida, Poales, Poaceae. The transcript is spliced from 3 exons. The record is from RefSeq and is a predicted model, not a curated record.